This 253-nucleotide ribosomal RNA is filed under the name uncultured bacterium. RNAcentral's name for it is "partial 16S ribosomal RNA". It matches the Rfam family "Bacterial small subunit ribosomal RNA", at positions 524 to 776 of the family's 1533-position model. The record is from RNAcentral.
UACGGGGGGAGCAAGCGUUGUUCGGAUUUACUGGGCGUAAAGGGCGCGUAGGCGGCGCAACAAGUCACUUGUGAAAUCUCCGGGCUUAACCCGGAGCGGCCAAGUGAUACUGUCGUGCUAGAGUGCGGAAGGGGCUACUGGAAUUCUCGGUGUAGCGGUGAAAUGCGUAGAUAUCUGCAGGAACACCCGUGGCGAAAGCGGCGCGCUGGACCACUACUGACGCUGAGGAACGAAAGCUAGGGGAGCAAACAGG